This 1855-nucleotide long non-coding RNA is filed under the name Homo sapiens (human). Its description in RNAcentral is "HSALNT0250537". Lineage: Eukaryota; Metazoa; Chordata; Mammalia; Primates; Hominidae. The record is from RNAcentral.
CCACCAGCCAGCCUUUUCCUCUUGCAAGUUCCCUCUCUCUCACUAGAGAGAGAGAGCUGUUUUUCUUUCUCUUUCUUUUGUCUAUUAAACCCCUGCUCCUAAACUCGUGUGUGUCCGUGUCCUAAACUCUCCUGGCACCAGAAGAACCCUGAUUAUUUACCCAGACAACUGUAGCUGCUUCAAAGGCUCCAGCCCACUGAAAUCUGCAGCCACACUCACUACUCCUAUAAAACUGCUGGUUUUGAAAAUCAUCAAUGAGACUCCAAUGGUGCAAAUAGAAUCAAAAGUUCCUGAUAUAGAAUAAGCAAAUGAUGGAAGAAGCCAAGUUUCCUGAGUGGCCACUAGGAAAACUCUGUCUUCUUUAUCAAAACUAUGAGGUAUGUGUCCUCCAAAUUCUUAUGUUGGAACUUCAGCCCCAAAGUGAUUGUAUUAGAAGGUGAAACAUUUAAGAGAUGAUUAAGUCAUAAGGGCUCUGACCUUCUGAGUGGGAUUAAUGUUCUUAUAAAAGGGCUGGCGAGAACUAGCUAUGCCUUUUUGCCCUUCUGCCAUGUGAGGACACAGCAACAAGGAGCUGUCUAAAAAGCUGAGACGGAGCCUUCACCAGACACUGAAUCUGCCGGCGACUUGAUCUUGGAUUUCCCAGCCUCAAGAACUGUGAAAAUAAACUUCUGUUGCUUAUAAAUUACUCCGUCUGUGGUAUGUUGUUAUAGCAGCAGGGAUGGACUAAGAAACUCUCUCUUUAUAUAAACAAUUACUUGUGGAGAAGUCUGUAUAAUUACAGAGUAAAAUCUUUAAAAUCUCAUGGGUUUAUAAGUAGCCUUACCUGCUGUCUUAAAUUCAAGAUUCCCACAUUUGCACCUCUUUAGUAUAUAGAAUAUAGACUAUAAAAAUAGUCUUGGCUAUCUAAGGCUAGUGGCCAACUGUCUAUUGCAGAGAAAGAGUGAGAAAUUUAAUAUAAAUAUUCAUUCUUACAUAUCCACUUCCUAGGCUAAUUAUCUAUUUAAGAAACUUUGCCUUAUUGCUACACACAUACAUUUAUAAAUAAAAGUACUUCUGCAUUUUUCAAAUAUAAAUUAGUUUUUUAAGACUUGCGUGCAUACCUAAAAGCAUAUGCACCAGAUAUGUCCAUAUAAGCACAAUUCCAAUCAAAGAAAAAGACUGUACUUAAACCAACAGUAAGGCCUUAAAUCAACUAGGAAAUCCAAUUCAAUCAUAUUUCAGGGUUUAUCAUUUCAGUCAUACAAACUUUAUCCUGGACAAAAACUGAUGUGGGAUGUGUGUGUGUGUAGUUCUAAAUAUUGUAAGCAAAUUUAUUUAAAUGAGCUCAUCUGGAAAUACUGAGUUCUAUGUAAUACAUUUCUUUGUAUUGAACACAAUUGAUUUCUGUGUGUCAAAACAAUGAAAGUGGGUCAUUAAAGCAAUUAUUGUUACUGUGUAAUUUUACUACAUAAAUUACCAAAUAAAUAAUAUUAUUGCAGAAAAACACAAGCUUACUAUCUUUUUACUUAUUUUCAAGUGAAAAGAUGGAAGAGCUAUUCCUAUGUCCUGAAAAGUCCAUAUAUUAGUUGAACAUGCUGAUAUCUGAUUCAUGAAAUCUCCAUUGCUUCAGUACCAUAGAUGUGAAAUGAUUUUAAAGCAUAUUCACAUUUGUCAUCCUAUGUUUUUAUAUUUAAUAAUUUUACUCUAAUUUUACAGUUACUGAAACUGUUACAUAGCUGUGCUGUUCUAUAUCUGGACAUGCUGUGUAUAACAGUAUGUUAUUUUUACAGGUACCGGACUUUAUUCUCUAGAUCUUUUCAGGGGCAUGCAUAGCUCUUAAAGCACCCAUGCUCAUAUUCAAAUCUUCUAAUCUUUU